This 358-nucleotide unclassified non-coding RNA is filed under the name soil metagenome. RNAcentral's name for it is "partial contains 5.8S ribosomal RNA, internal transcribed spacer 2, and large subunit ribosomal RNA". The stretch from base 1 to 120 matches the Rfam family "5.8S ribosomal RNA", at positions 35 to 154 of the family's 154-position model. The record is from RNAcentral.
GAUGAAGAACGUAGUGAAAUGCGAUAAGUAAUGUGAAUUGCAGAAUUCAGUGAAUCAUCGAAUCUUUGAACGCACAUUGCGCCCGUCAGUAUUCUGGCGGGCAUGUCUGUUCGAGCGUCAUUACGCCCCUCAAGUCCCCUGUGGACUUGGUGUUGGGGAUCGGCGAGGCUGGUUUUCCAGCACAGCCGUCCCUUAAAUUAAUUGGCGGUCUCGCCGUGGCCCUCCUCUGCGCAGUAGUAAAACACUCGCAACAGGAGCCCGGCGCGGUCCACUGCCGUAAAACCCCCCAACUUUUUAUAGUUGACCUCGAAUCAGGUAGGACUACCCGCUGAACUUAAGCAUAUCAAUAAGCGGAGGA